AUGACUUCUGCAAUAUUUGGUGGCCGCAUUGCUCAGCUGGGCUCUGAUAUGCGGAAGAAACUCAAGGCCGCCUAUAUGCUGAUUGAGCUGUUGUAUACCGGUGCCCAACGGGUUAUCUGUGCAACUUCUUAUGACAAUGCAGCCCCAACAUUGAUCAAGGACACUCUGGCCAAGUUAUCUACAACGCCAGCAGAGAUAAAAGAGGUGAAGCGGUCCGCUGCCAGAGCUGGCGCUUUGUUAGCACUGACCCGAGCCAAGGCAUGGAUAGCUGACCUUGAUCCGGUCGAUAUCGCCAAGGGCUUUCAUAGUGAACAGGAAAAUGGGGCAGUGUUUGACAAUGAUACCCUCAAACGUGUGACAAGAGAGAUGCGUCCUCUGGCGAGUCAACUUGCAGAAGAAGCAAACUUGAUGGUUCACCGGUUCUUCUAUGAUGCUGACAACAAACGGGUUGAGGCUGUCAUUCCGGAAGUGCAAAAUCUUAUUCCGCCAAUCCGUAAGCAUACUUACGCCCCUGACGUUGAUCCGACUGAUCCUAUAAGUGAAGAGGCUGUCUUUCAGGCCUUAACCCGGAUUGACUAG
RNAcentral lists this ribosomal RNA (579 nucleotides) under Triticum aestivum (bread wheat). RNAcentral's name for it is "partial small subunit ribosomal RNA". The record is from RNAcentral. Lineage: Eukaryota; Viridiplantae; Streptophyta; Magnoliopsida; Poales; Poaceae.